RNAcentral lists this ribosomal RNA (495 nucleotides) under uncultured bacterium. RNAcentral's name for it is "bacterial SSU rRNA". It matches the Rfam family "Bacterial small subunit ribosomal RNA", at positions 30 to 529 of the family's 1533-position model. The record is from RNAcentral.
AUUGAACGCUGGCGGCAUGCCUUACACAUGCAAGUCGAACGGCAGCACGGGGGCAAUCCUGGUGGCGAGUGGCGAACGGGUGAGUAAUGUAUCGGAACGUACCUUUCAGUGGGGGAUAACGUAGCGAAAGUUACGCUAAUACCGCAUACGACCUUGGACCGGGAGGUUUUAGGUGAAAGCGGGGGAUCUUCGGACCUCGCGCGAAAAGAUGAGCCUAUGUCGGAUUAGCUAGUUGGUGGGGUAAAGGCCUACCAAGGCGACGAUCCGUAGCUGGUCUGAGAGGACGACCAGCCACACUGGGACUGAGACACGGCCCAGACUCCUACGGGAGGCAGCAGUGGGGAAUCUUAGACAAUGGGCGCAAGCCUGAUCUAGCCAUGCCGCGUGAGCGAUGAAGGCCUUAGGGUUGUAAAGCUCUUUCAGUGGGGAAGAUAAUGACUGUACCCACAGAAGAAGCCCCGGCUAACUCCGUGCCAGCAGCCGCGGUAAAUCUCG